This 247-nucleotide ribosomal RNA is filed under the name uncultured archaeon. RNAcentral's name for it is "partial 16S ribosomal RNA". It matches the Rfam family "Archaeal small subunit ribosomal RNA", at positions 691 to 937 of the family's 1478-position model. The record is from RNAcentral.
CCGACGGUGAGGGGUGAAAGCUGGGGGAGCAAACCGGAUUAGAUACCCGGGUAGUCCCAGCCGUAAACGAUGUGCGUUAGGUGUAUCGGUGACCACGAGUCACCGAGGUGCCGAAGAGAAAUCGUGAAACGUACCGCCUGGGAAGUACGGUCGCAAGGCUGAAACUUAAAGGAAUUGGCGGGGGAGCACCACAACAGGUGGAGCCUGCGGUUUAAUCGGACUCAACGCCGGGAAACUCACCAGAUAA